CCCCGCGUACCAUUCCCCUUGAGUUUGACAUGGCUCAGGACGAACGCUGGCGGCGCGCUUACACAUGCAAGUCGAGCGAGAACCAGACCUUCGGGUCUGGGGAAAGCGGCGAACGGGUGAGUAACACGUGAGUAACCUGUCCUCGGCACCGGGAUAGCCCGGGGAAACCCGGAUUAAUACCGGAUGGCCUUUCGAGCUCUCGGGCUCGUUAGAAAAGGUAGCUUCGGCCUCCGGCCGAGGAGGGACUCGCGGCGGAUUAGCUUGUUGGUGAGGUAACGGCUCACCAAGGCGACGAUCCGUAGCUGGUCUGAGAGGACGAUCAGCCACACUGGGACUGAGACACGGCCCAGACUCCUACGGGAGGCAGCAGUGGGGAAUCUUGCGCAAUGGGCGAAAGCCUGACGCAGCGACGCCGCGUGCGGGAAGAAGGCCUUCGGGUUGUAAACCGCUUUCAGGAGGGACGAAGCCACUCGGGUUAAUAGCCCAGAGGGUGACGGUACCUCCAGAAGAAGCCCCGGCUAACUACGUGCCAGCAGCCGCGGUAAUACGUAGGGGGCAAGCGUUGUCCGGAUUUAUUGGGCGUAAAGAGCGUGUAGGCGGCCCGGCAGGUCCGUUGUGAAAACUCGAGGCUCAACCUCGAGACGUCGAUGGAAACGCCGGGCUAAGUCCGAAGAGGAGAGUGGAUUCCUGGUGUAGCGGUGAAUGCGCAAUAUCAGAGACACCGUGGCAAGCGUCUCUGGACGUCUGACCUAAGCGAACUGGGACGACAGAUAAUCCUGUAUCACCU
This 787-nucleotide ribosomal RNA is filed under the name uncultured bacterium. RNAcentral describes it as "bacterial SSU rRNA". It matches the Rfam family "Bacterial small subunit ribosomal RNA", at positions 1 to 727 of the family's 1533-position model. The record is from RNAcentral.